GGGAAAUGAGGAUAAUUAACGCAAUUCUUGAAUUUAAGUGAAGACUUCUAAUCCAACUCUGAUCCCGCUGCUGAGCC
Salvelinus sp. IW2-2015 is the source of this 77-nucleotide small nucleolar RNA. RefSeq annotates it as small nucleolar RNA SNORD19. Lineage: Eukaryota; Metazoa; Chordata; Actinopteri; Salmoniformes; Salmonidae. The record is from RefSeq and is a predicted model, not a curated record. The transcript has a single exon.